UAUGUGAUCGUCUCUCGCAUAUCAAUAAGCGGAGGAAAAGAAACUAACAAGGAUUCCCCUAGUAACGGCGAGUGAAGCGGGAAGAGCUCAAAUUUGAAAUCUUAAAGGGUUUCCCUUUACGAAUUGUAGUUUAAAGAAGUGUUUUCUGUUGAGGUUUUGGUAAAAGUUCUUUGGAAUAGGACAUCAUAGAGGGUGAGAAUCCCGUAUUUGACCUUUACUUUCAACUUUGUGAUACACUUUCAAAGAGUCGGAUUGUUUGGGAAUGCAGUCCAAAAUGGGUGGUAAAUUUCAUCUAAAGCUAAAUAGUUGGCGAGAGACCGAUAGCGAACAAGUACCGUGAGGGAAAGAUGAAAAGAACUUUGAAAAGAGAGUUAAACAGUACGUGAAAUUGUCAAAAGGGAAGCGUUUGACACCAGUGUUGUUUUUCUGAAAAUCAAUUAAAGAACUGUUUAUGCUAAGUUGUUUAGACUUUAUCAGCUAACUGUUUAGUUUUGAGCUUUUCUUUAAUGCACUUUUCAGUUAACAAGUCAACAUCAAUUUCUUUUGCUGUAAAAAAGCUUGAGGAAGGUGGCUUGAGAUUCGUCUUAAGUGUUUAUAGCCUCUUGCCUACUGCAGUCGGAGAGAUUGAGGUCUGCAGCGUAGAUCCUUCGGGGCUAAAUGCAUUUGUGCUAAGUUAUAACAUUUUAUAGACAACUUGUUGACUAUGAUUUGUCUUGUAGCUUACUCGCUUAUGUUAUUUUACCUACGCUUAGGAUGUUGAAGUCAUCGUAUCGCGC
RNAcentral lists this ribosomal RNA (776 nucleotides) under uncultured Neocallimastigales. Its description in RNAcentral is "partial large subunit ribosomal RNA". It matches the Rfam family "Eukaryotic large subunit ribosomal RNA", at positions 24 to 645 of the family's 3401-position model. Lineage: Eukaryota; Fungi; Neocallimastigomycota; Neocallimastigomycetes; Neocallimastigales. The record is from RNAcentral.